Molecule: long non-coding RNA, 459 nt
Organism: Anthonomus grandis grandis
Lineage: Eukaryota; Metazoa; Arthropoda; Insecta; Coleoptera; Curculionidae
Exons: 2
Source: RefSeq, a predicted model, not a curated record
UCCCCCUACAUAUCUAAAUCGACGUGUUCUUUUUUGUUUUUUUUUAAAGAAUUACUAAAGGUGGUUUGUUUUCAAAUAAAAGUAGGUACUGUAUAUAGAAAGAAAAAGGAUAGGUUUAUUGGAUAGUUCAAAAGACGAGAAGAAGAAAAAACCCGUAUCGAUAGCGAUAUUGAUAUCUGAAAACGGGCAAAUUCGAGCACUCGCUUUGCCAACCAUGCAAGAAGCUCUUCAAAUAAUGCAGAAAUAGUGUGCGGAAUACUCCUAAUGCAGUAGCCCCAAAAAGACUGAGAUGUCGAUAUGUACUAGAAAAUAAAAAAAAUAUAUCUCUACCGGCACGUCAACUUUCAGGAACUCACACACACAAGUUUUGCUUUGGAAAUCAAGUACUUUAUUAUGUUACUACACAGCAAAACUAAAUUAGAACUUUCAUAUCACAAAGAGAAUACAUCAUACACAGAC